RNAcentral lists this ribosomal RNA (873 nucleotides) under uncultured bacterium. RNAcentral describes it as "bacterial SSU rRNA". It matches the Rfam family "Bacterial small subunit ribosomal RNA", at positions 526 to 1399 of the family's 1533-position model. The record is from RNAcentral.
CAGAGGCCAAGAGCGUUGUUGGGAUUUACUGGGCGUAAAGGGCGCGUAGGCGGUCUUGCGUGUCAAGUGUGAAAUCUCCGGGCUCAACCCGGAAAGUGCGCUUGAAACUACAGGACUCGAGUUUGGGAGAGGGAAUCGGAAUGCAGGGUGUAGCGGUGAAAUGCGUUGAUAUCCUGCAGAACACCGGAGGCGAAGGCGGAUUCCUUGAACAGUACUGACGCUGAGGCGCGAAAGUCGGGGGAGCAAACAGGAUCAGAUACCCUGGUAGUCCCGACCUUAAACGGUGCACACUCGGGGUGGGGCCAUUUCACCGGUCCCGUCCCUUAGCUAACGCGUUAAGUGUGCCGCCUGGGGAGUACGGCCGCAAGGCUAAAACUCAAAGAAAUUGACGGGGGCCCGCACAAGCAGAGGAGCAUGUGGCUUAAUUCGAUGCAACGCGAAGAACCUUACCUGGAUUUGACAUCGUCGGCAAGGCCCUAUGAAAGUAGGGCGGAGGUUAUCCGAUAGACAGGUGCUGCAUGGCUGUCGUCAGUUCGUGCCGUGAGGUGUUUGGUUAAGUCCACCAACGAACGCAACCCCUUUGGUAUGUUGCCAUCAGGUAAUGCUGGGAACUCGUACCAUACUGCCUGUUUACGCAGGAGGAAGGUGGGGAUGACGUCAAGUCAGUAUGGCCCUUACAUCCAGGGCUGCACACGUGCUACAAUGGCCGGUACAGAGGGACGCGAGACCGCAAGGUGGAGCCAAUCCCAGAGAGCCGGCCUCAGUUCAGAUCGGGGUCUGCAACCCGACCACGUGAAGUCGGAUUUGCUAGUAACGGCGUAUCAGCUACGACGCCGUGAAUGCGUUCCCGGGCCUUGCACACAAGGCCCGUCA